CGGUGAAUACGUUCCCGGGCCUUGUACACACCGCCCGUCAAGCCAUGGAAGUUGGGGGUACCUGAAGUACGUGACCGCAAGGAGCGUCCUAGGGUAAAACCGAUAACUGGGGCU
Molecule: ribosomal RNA, 114 nt
Filed under: uncultured bacterium
Lineage: Bacteria
Description: partial 16S ribosomal RNA
Rfam family: Bacterial small subunit ribosomal RNA
Source: RNAcentral